Long non-coding RNA from Megalobrama amblycephala (Wuchang bream), 607 nucleotides. RefSeq lists it as uncharacterized. The record is from RefSeq and is a predicted model, not a curated record. Lineage: Eukaryota; Metazoa; Chordata; Actinopteri; Cypriniformes; Xenocyprididae. The transcript is spliced from 2 exons.
AGAAGUGAGUGUGUGUGUGUGUUCACUACUCACUGCACCUAAUGUGUGAGCACCAACUUGGAUGGGUUACAUUCAGAGGACAAAUGCCGAGUAUGGGUUGUCAUACUUGGCCUUCACGUCAUGAAGGAUUUGUCAUAUGGGCCCAGUUGUUCAAAAAGUUUAAUCUGGAUCAGAAUGAUCUGCAUUUGGAAAUCCCGUGUUUCGCUAUCCAGGAUCAGGUAGCAGCUCUUACUGAAUGGACUCUGUACUGGAUAGAUGGCCUGCUCCCAGCAUGUGUCUUCCUGUGGACCAGUGGACAGGUGGUUGUCCUGGUCCAGGUGUAGCUGAAACCAUAUUGCCAGAGCAUCAAGAAUACCCUCCCGAGUCACACACAGCCGUAGCUGCGUCACCUCUCUGGAGCAAAGACCCUCCAGCUCCUGCAACACAGAGAAUGCUUAGAACCACUUACUAUGCUCAUGUCACUUUAGGUUUUUCAGUCAUGUUGUUUCUUGACCAUUUUCUUCCAACAUCAUUGUGAUCUGUUUGAGACUUGUUUGAUUAUCAAAAAACAUUUUUAGUUCAACAUUGUACUGCUAAAUACAUGGCUCUAUAUGCUGACUGAGUUCAA